UUGGUCAUGGAUAAUUUGUUGCA
RNAcentral lists this non-coding RNA (23 nucleotides) under Arabidopsis thaliana (thale cress). Lineage: Eukaryota; Viridiplantae; Streptophyta; Magnoliopsida; Brassicales; Brassicaceae. The record is from RNAcentral.